RNAcentral lists this non-coding RNA (253 nucleotides) under Aporhodopirellula sallentina. Lineage: Bacteria; Pseudomonadati; Planctomycetota; Planctomycetia; Pirellulales; Pirellulaceae. The record is from RNAcentral. RNAcentral also lists the same sequence under 1 other name.
AACAUCUCGUGCGUUCAUGGUGACGAACGUGGUUUCAGCCUCGUUCGUGAACAGGGAACUUCGGUGCGACGUCGUUUUUGUCGAUGUCAAUUCCGAGACGGUCCGGCCGCUGUGUGCCACUUGCGUUCUUAACAGUUCGCAUCCGUCGCUCCUUUCUUUGAAAGUGCCAUUGUUCGUGAAUCACGAAUGAGAAGGCAGCGAGCGAGACGGAAGAGUGGUGAGUCAGAAGACCUACCUUGAACGAGACGGCUCA